GAAGGUGUACUGUGAGGUAUGCUGGAGGUAUCAGAAGUGCGAAUGCUGACAUAAGUAACGAUAAAGCGGGUGAAAAGCCCGCUCGCCGGAAGACCAAGGGUUCCUGUCCAACGUUAAUCGGGGCAGGGUGAGUCGACCCCUAAGGCGAGGCCGAAAGGCGUAGUCGAUGGGAAACAGGUUAAUAUUCCUGUACUUGGUGUUACUGCGAAGGGGGGACGGAGAAGGCUAUGUUGGCCGGGCGACGGUUGUCCCGGUUUAAGCGUGUAGGCUGGUUUUCCAGGCAAAUCCGGAAAAUCAAGGCUGAGGCGUGAUGACGAGGCACUACGGUGCUGAAGCAACAAAUGCCCUGCUUCCAGGAAAAGCCUCUAAGCAUCAGGUAACAUCAAAUCGUACCCCAAACCGACACAGGUGGUCAGGUAGAGAAUACCAAGGCGCUUGAGAGAACUCGGGUGAAGGAACUAGGCAAAAUGGUGCCGUAACUUCGGGAGAAGGCACGCUGAUAUGUAGGUGAAGUCCCUCGCGGAUGGAGCUGAAAUCAGUCGAAGAUACCAGCUGGCUGCAACUGUUUAUUAAAAACACAGCACUGUGCAAACACGAAAGUGGACGUAUACGGUGUGACGCCUGCCCGGUGCCGGAAGGUUAAUUGAUGGGGUUAGCGGUAACGCGAAGCUCUUGAUCGAAGCCCCGGUAAACGGCGGCCGUAACUAUAACGGUCCUAAGGUAGCGAAAUUCCUUGUCGGGUAAGUUCCGACCUGCACGAAUGGCGUAAUGAUGGCCAGGCUGUCUCCACCCGAGACUCAGUGAAAUUGAACUCGCUGUGAAGAUGCAGUGUACCCGCGGCAAGACGGAAAGACCCCGUGAACCUUUACUAUAGCUUGACACUGAACAUUGAGCCUUGAUGUGUAGGAUAGGUGGGAGGCUUUGAAGUGUGGACGCCAGUCUGCAUGGAGCCGGCCUUGAAAUACCACCCUUUAAUGUUUGAUGUUCUAACGUUGGCCCCUGAUCGGGGUUGCGGACAGUGUCUGGUGGGUAGUUUGACUGGGGCGGUCUCCUCCUAAAGAGUAACGGAGGAGCACGAAGGUUGGCUAAUCCUGGUCGGACAUCAGGAGGUUAGUGCAAUGGCAUAAGCCAGCUUGACUGCGAGCGUGACGGCGCGAGCAGGUGCGAAAGCAGGUCAUAGUGAUCCGGUGGUUCUGAAUGGAAGGGCCAUCGCUCAACGGAUAAAAGGUACUCCGGGGAUAACAGGCUGAUACCGCCCAAGAGUUCAUAUCGACGGCGGUGUUUGGCACCUCGAUGUCGGCUCAUCACAUCCUGGGGCUGAAGUAGGUCCCAAGGGUAUGGCUGUUCGCCAUUUAAAGUGGUACGCGAGCUGGGUUUAGAACGUCGUGAGACAGUUCGGUCCCUAUCUGCCGUGGGCGCUGGAGAACUGAGGGGGGCUGCUCCUAGUACGAGAGGACCGGAGUGGACGCAUCACUGGUGUUCGGGUUGUCAUGCCAAUGGCACUGCCCGGUAGCUAAAUGCGGAAGAGAUAAGUGCUGAAAGCAUCUAAGCACGAAACUUGCCCCGAGAUGAGUUCUCCCUGACUCCUUGAGAGUCCUGAAGGAACGUUGAAGACGACGACGUUGAUAGGCCGGGUGUGUAAGCGCAGCGAUGCGUUGAGCUAACCGGUACUAAUGAACCGUGAGGCUUAACCUU
RNAcentral lists this ribosomal RNA (1695 nucleotides) under Escherichia coli. RNAcentral describes it as "partial 23S ribosomal RNA". It matches the Rfam family "Bacterial large subunit ribosomal RNA", at positions 1252 to 2925 of the family's 2925-position model. The record is from RNAcentral. Lineage: Bacteria; Pseudomonadati; Pseudomonadota; Gammaproteobacteria; Enterobacterales; Enterobacteriaceae.